GCUACAGUGGUGCAACUGGCGAGACACACUCCGCUUAAGACGGAGCGCCUGAAACGAUGGAUUGUUGGGUUCGAAUCCCACCUGUAGCA
Molecule: transfer RNA, 89 nt
Filed under: Caudoviricetes sp.
Lineage: Duplodnaviria; Heunggongvirae; Uroviricota; Caudoviricetes
Description: tRNA-Leu
Rfam family: tRNA
About the family: Transfer RNA (tRNA) molecules are approximately 80 nucleotides in length. Their secondary structure includes four short double-helical elements and three loops (D, anti-codon, and T loops).
Source: RNAcentral